AUUGAACGCUGGCGGCAUGCCUUACACAUGCAAGUCGAACGGCAUCGCGGGAAAGCUUGCUUUCCUGGCGGCGAGUGGCGAACGGGUGAGUAACACAUCGGAACGUACCGGCUAGUGGGGGAUAACCCGUCGAAAGACGGGCUAAUACCGCAUACGCUCUUCGGAGGAAAGCAGGGGACCUUUGGGCCUUGCGCUAGCCGAGCGGCCGAUGUCCGAUUAGCUAGUUGGUGGGGUAAAGGCCUACCAAGGCGACGAUCGGUAGCGGGUCUGAGAGGACGAUCCGCCACACUGGGACUGGGACACGGCCCAGACUCCUACGGGAGGCCGCAGUGGGGAAUCUUGGACAAUGGGGGCAACCCUGAUCCAGCAAUGCCGCGUGGGUGAAGAAGGCCUUCGGGGUGUAAAGCCCUUUUGGCAGGGAAGAAAUCGGCGGGGCGAAUAACCCUGCUGGAUGACGGUACCUGCAGAAGAAGCACCGGCUAACUACGUG
RNAcentral lists this ribosomal RNA (490 nucleotides) under uncultured bacterium. RNAcentral's name for it is "partial 16S ribosomal RNA". It matches the Rfam family "Bacterial small subunit ribosomal RNA", at positions 28 to 507 of the family's 1533-position model. The record is from RNAcentral.